This 498-nucleotide ribosomal RNA is filed under the name uncultured bacterium. Its description in RNAcentral is "bacterial SSU rRNA". It matches the Rfam family "Bacterial small subunit ribosomal RNA", at positions 899 to 1397 of the family's 1533-position model. The record is from RNAcentral.
ACUCAAAGGAAUAGACGGGGGCCCGCACAAGCGGAGGAACAUGUGGUUUAAUUCGAUGAUACGCGAGGAACCUUACCUGGGCUUAAAUGUAUAGUGCAUUUCCGAGAAAUCGGGAUUUCCUACGGGACUCUAUGCAAGGUGCUGCAUGGUUGUCGUCAGCUCGUGCCGUGAGGUGUCGGGUUAAGUCCCAUAACGAGCGCAACCCUUAUCGUUAGUUGCCAGCGGGUAAAGCCGGGAACUCUAACGAAACUGCCGGUGUAAACCGCGAGGAAGGUGGGGAUGACGUCAAAUCAGCACGGCCCUUAUGUCCAGGGCUACACACGUGUUACAAUGGUCGGUACAGAGGGCAGCUACCUGGAGACAGGAUGCGAAUCUCGAAAGCCGGUCUCAGUUCGGAUCGGAGUCUGCAACUCGACUCCGUGAAGCUGGAUUCGCUAGUAAUCGCGCAUCAGCCAUGGCGCGGUGAAUACGUUCCCGGGCCUUGUACACACCGCCCGU